RNAcentral lists this ribosomal RNA (119 nucleotides) under Nelumbo nucifera (sacred lotus). The record is from RNAcentral. Lineage: Eukaryota; Viridiplantae; Streptophyta; Magnoliopsida; Proteales; Nelumbonaceae.
GGGUGCGAUCAUACCAGCACUAAUGCACCGGAUCCCACCAGAACUCCGAAGUUAAGCGGGCUUAGCCGAGAGUAGUACUAGGAUGGGUGACCUCUUAGGAAGUCCUCGUGUUGCAACCC